CCUACGGGGGGCUGCAGUGGGGAAUUUUGGACAAUGGGCGCAAGCCUGAUCCAGCCAUGCCGCGUGCGGGAAGAAGGCCUUCGGGUUGUAAACCGCUUUUGUCAGGGAAGAAAAGUUCCGGGUUAAUACCCUGGGAUGCUGACGGUACCUGAAGAAUAAGCACCGGCUAACUACGUGCCAGCAGCCGCGGUAAUACGUAGGGUGCGAGCGUUAAUCGGAAUUAGCGGGCGUAAAGCUGGCGCAGGCGGUUGAAAUCCCCGGGCUCAACCUGGGAACUGCAUUUGUGACUGCACGACUGGAGUGCGGCAGAGGGGGAUGGAAUUCCGCGUGUAGCAGUGAAAUGCGUAGAUAUGCGGAGGAACACCGAUGGCGAAGGCAAUCCCCUGGGCCUGCACUGACGCUCAUGCACGAAAGCGUGGGGAGCAAACAGGAUUAGAUACCCUGGUAGUC
This 450-nucleotide ribosomal RNA is filed under the name uncultured bacterium. RNAcentral describes it as "partial 16S ribosomal RNA". It matches the Rfam family "Bacterial small subunit ribosomal RNA", at positions 338 to 795 of the family's 1533-position model. The record is from RNAcentral.